This is a long non-coding RNA of Zea mays, 2062 nucleotides long. RefSeq lists it as uncharacterized. NCBI's taxonomy places the organism in Eukaryota, Viridiplantae, Streptophyta, Magnoliopsida, Poales, Poaceae. The record is from RefSeq and is a predicted model, not a curated record. The transcript is spliced from 3 exons.
ACGUUGGCGAGUUGGGGUCAGCCGACCCCGACGACUUCACAGUUGCACCUUAUACACGUCGAUUUUCUACCAGCCAAGACCCCGGCAAAAAAACAUCGUGACCCCGGCACCCCGCACUCGGCAGCCCAAAACGCUAUGGCCCAACGAGUAUUUACUCCUCUCCUUUUGUCAAUACUCAAUAGUCAUCAACGAAAAUACGAAACGCAUGCAGUCCAACCUGUACUAGCAUACCACGUCCACACCAGAAGCCCAUAUUUGUACGUUCUGCCUGUUGGACGUCAGGGGUGGAGGCUAGCAAGUAGCAAGUAGCAGCAACCCAAAAGGCCAAAAGUCUUUUGUCUCUUGAUCCAGGGUUCAGGCGGCUAGCAGAACAACAAUCUGACGAUUGCUCUCCCGGCGGCGUUAUUUGCUAGUUUGCUUCGUCAAAACUGUGCUGUGCGUCUCCCCGAUGCGGCGACGUCCCUACUGCCUACUCCCUUCCACUCCAUAGUUCCACUCUUCCCUUCCACUCUUCCAGGCUUCCUCGGUCAAUCGUUCUCUCAAGUGAUCAAGUCUCAACCUCGGAUUUUCUCGCGGUGUUCGCCUGUUCGGCAUCAAAUUCCAAGGCUGCUGGUCUGGAUAAGCUGAUGAGUUACAUAUAACCAGAGGCAAGCACCAAGCAGUUAGUCUCCACAUUUUUUGCUCGUGACUUUGGUUCAAGCAGAGAGGUUGUCGUUGCUCUUAUUCAAGGAAAUGUCAAGCAACCAAAGCAAGUUGGAACGAUUCUUGAAAAGGAAAAUACCCCCAGCCAAUGAUAAUGACAAUCUAGAAGGAUGCACUUCAAGAAGGGAUGACAAUACAUCAAAUAUCAAUCGUCCUAUUCAUUGUUCUUCACGAGUCCCACAACAUGAGGUAAAUUUUGAUGAACUUCCAUAUGAUCCAGCUGACAGAAGGAGAAUAUCAGAUUAUAUAGGCCCUGAUCUACAAGAUGACAUAAGGCGAAAGUAUUUGACUAGAGGUCCUUGUAGACCGCCACCUGGUUUUAAGUUUCCACAAACGAUCAUAGCAGGUCAUCCCCGUCGGUGUCAAGCUGAAUGGUUCACUACAUAUGGCUGGUUAGAGUAUAGUGAGAAGGUGGAUAAGUGUUUUUGUUUACAAUGUUACUUGUUCAGAGAUUUCAACAAAGGCCAAGGUGGGAAUGAUGCAUUUGUAAUAAAUGGUUGGGAUGGCUGGAACAAAUCUGAUAGGCUUCGAGAUCAUGUCGGCAACAAAUGCAAUAGUUUUCAUAACACGGCUGUGAAGAGAUGUGACAAUCUUUUGAAGCCUGGACAAUCUAUUGGAAAUGUUUUUAACAAACAGACCACUGUCAGUAAAGAGGAACAUCUGAUUAGAUUAAAGACUUCCAUCAAAGCUGUUCGUUACUUGUUGCAUCAACUUGCAGAUAUGAUUGCUUGAACCCAAUUAUUGACUUACAACUUGCAGAGUUUAAUGAUCGUUUUAAUGAGGUGAACUCUCAUUUGCUUACUCAAAUUGCUGCUUUCAACCCCAAGAAUUCUUUUGAGGCCUUCAAAGUUGAGAGUUUAAUAGAGUUGGCUAAGUCAUACCCUGAUGAUUUUGAUUCAACACAAUUGAAGGAUCUUAGUCGUGAGCUUAACUUUUUCAUUGAUAAUGUGCGAGCUGAUGAAAGAUUUUCUAGCUUGAUCUCUAAUUCUGCACUUGCAAGGCUGAUGGUGGAUACAACAAAACAUACGAGUUUUCCUUUGGUCUAUCGACUUCUCAAGCUAGUACUGGUUCUUCCAAUCGCCACUGCAUCGGUUGAGAGGUGCUUUUCAGCGAUGAAAAUUGUGAAGACAAUGUUAAGAAAUCGUAUUGGAGAUGGAUUUAUGAAUGAUUGUAUCAUAUGCUUCGUGGAACCAGGAUUUCUAGCCACAAUUCCAACUGAUGAUGUGAUAGUUCGCUUUCAUAAGAUGGAGGACCGUACCCGUAGAGGAAAAAUAUAGAAGGUAUGUAAAUACUAUUGCAAAAGCUUAUUUGUCACAAUAUGUUGCUUUUCUUUUUUAAACUAUCGAUGUUAUGCAUGACA